This 72-nucleotide transfer RNA is filed under the name Rhizopus azygosporus. It matches the Rfam family "tRNA". Rfam says of the family: Transfer RNA (tRNA) molecules are approximately 80 nucleotides in length. Lineage: Eukaryota; Fungi; Mucoromycota; Mucoromycetes; Mucorales; Rhizopodaceae. RNAcentral also lists the same sequence under 8 other names. The record is from Rfam by way of RNAcentral.
AAGGAAUUAGGUCAGUGGUUAGACCCCCAUUCUUACACAAUGGUAGCAGUUGUUCGAUUCAACUAUUCCUUA